GAUGAACGCUGGCGGCGUGCCUAAUACAUGCAAGUCGAACGAAAUACCUUCGGGUAUUUAGUGGCGAACGGGUGAGUAAUACGUAGAUAACCUGCCUAUAGGACUGGGAUAACUAUUGGAAACGAUAGCUAAUACCGGAUAGGUAGAACGAGGGCAUCCUUGUUCUAUUAAAGUUGGGAAACAACACAUAUAGAUGGAUCUACGGCGCAUUAGUUAGUUGGUGGGGUAAUGGCCUACCAAGACGAUGAUGCGUAGCCGACCUGAGAGGGUGAACGGCCACACUGGGACUGAGACACGGCCCAGACUCCUACGGGAGGCAGCAGUAGGGAAUUUUCGGCAAUGGGGGAAACCCUGACCGAGCAACGCCGCGUGAGUGACGAA
RNAcentral lists this ribosomal RNA (381 nucleotides) under uncultured bacterium. RNAcentral describes it as "bacterial SSU rRNA". It matches the Rfam family "Bacterial small subunit ribosomal RNA", at positions 28 to 412 of the family's 1533-position model. The record is from RNAcentral.